GUCCCUUCAGCGCAAUGGAUAGCGCAUUGGACUUCUAAUCCAAAGAUCGUGGGUUAAAAUUCCACCUGGGAUG
This is a non-coding RNA of Trichonephila inaurata madagascariensis, 73 nucleotides long. NCBI's taxonomy places the organism in Eukaryota, Metazoa, Arthropoda, Arachnida, Araneae, Nephilidae. The record is from the annotation of a GenBank genome assembly.